This 31-nucleotide non-coding RNA is filed under the name Homo sapiens (human). Lineage: Eukaryota; Metazoa; Chordata; Mammalia; Primates; Hominidae. The record is from RNAcentral.
UCCGCACACAGCUCCCACAUCAGACGGCAGC